GAAGCGCUCGAGCUACAGCUUGGCACUGGGGCAACUCUAUCAGCAGGUCUGGAGAGCGGAGCAACCACAUAUCAAGAAUCCGGAGGGGACUCGAGAAGAGGCUAACGUGGAAGGGUGGACAUGAUGGGAGAGGAGUAGGGCUCGUACCUUGAGCUACUCCAUCUUUUGACUUGCACCGGUGACACGGUCUACGCCUCGGUGGCUUCCUUGAGCAUGCCAAAAGCUUCCUUUGACUUUGUGAUAGAAUUCCGGGAUGCUAUCCAAGAAUACUGUUGGAGAAACGUACAACUUGGCAAUAUGAGAUGGUAAUUCAUAUAUCAUUUGGGACUGAAUAUAUGUGCUAGCAUGGUUCUAAAAUUCAACAGUAUAUUAAAAUCUAAUUUAAGUGUUUGAAUAUGUAAGCAUCACUAAAAUUCCUCACCUAUACAGCUUUGGAUUAUUACUGCUCUCUCGAUACUCUCGCAAAUGUCAAUUCUCUCAAUGUGAAGAGAGAUAACAUGUGAAUUGCAAGUGAGAGUGCCAGAGAAAUGGCGAGCAAGAUGAUACAUGGCUUGUGAGUGAGAGUGUUGGGGGAUGGGCGAGUGAGAGGAAGGAAUAAG
RNAcentral lists this long non-coding RNA (599 nucleotides) under Elaeis guineensis (African oil palm). RNAcentral's name for it is "long non-coding RNA (EGUI_LNC004583)". Lineage: Eukaryota; Viridiplantae; Streptophyta; Magnoliopsida; Arecales; Arecaceae. The record is from RNAcentral.